This 439-nucleotide ribosomal RNA is filed under the name uncultured bacterium. RNAcentral describes it as "partial 16S ribosomal RNA". It matches the Rfam family "Bacterial small subunit ribosomal RNA", at positions 339 to 795 of the family's 1533-position model. The record is from RNAcentral.
CUACGGGAGGCAGCAGUGAGGAAUAUUGCACAAUGGGGGGAACCCUGAUGCAGCAACGCCGCGUGGAGGAUGACGCAUUUCGGUGUGUAAACUCCUUUUAUAUGUCAAGAAAAUGACGGUAGCAUAUGAAUAAGCGCCGGCUAACUCCGUGCCAGCAACCGCGGUAAUACGGAGGGCGCAAGCGUUACUCGGAAUCACUGGGCGUAAAGGACGCGUAGGCGGGUUGAAAAGUCAGGUGUGAAAGCCUACAGCUUAACUGUAGAACUGCACUUGAAACUCUCAAUCUAGAGUAUGGGAGGGGCAGAUGGAAUUAGUGGUGUAGGGGUAAAAUCCGUAGAUAUCACUAGGAAUACCUAAAGCGAAGGCGAUCUGCUGGAACAUUACUGACGCUAAGGCGUGAAAGCGUGGGGAGCAAACAGGAUUAGAUACCCUUGUAGUC